CCUACGGGAGGCAGCAGUCGAGAAUCAUUCACAAUGGGGGAAACCCUGAUGGUGCGACGCCGCGUGGGGGAAUGAAGGUCUUCGGAUUGUAAACCCCUGUCAUGUGGGAGCAAAUUAAAAAGAUAGUACCACAAGAGGAAGAGACGGCUAACUCUGUGCCCGCAGCCGCGGUAAUACAGAGGUCUCAAGCGUUGUUCGGCAUCACUGGGCGUAAAGCGUGCGUAGGCUGUUUCGUAAGUCGUGUGUGAAAGGCGCGGGCUCAACCCGCGGACGGCACAUGAUACUGCGAGACUAGAGUAAGGGAGGGGGAACCGGAAUUCUCGGUGUAGCAGUGAAAUGCGUAGAUAUCGAGAGGAACACUCGUGGCGAAGGCGGGUUCCUGGACAUUAACUGACGCUGAGGCACGAAGGCCAGGGGAGCGAAAGGGAUUAGAUACCCGAGUAGUC
This 446-nucleotide ribosomal RNA is filed under the name uncultured bacterium. RNAcentral's name for it is "partial 16S ribosomal RNA". It matches the Rfam family "Bacterial small subunit ribosomal RNA", at positions 338 to 795 of the family's 1533-position model. The record is from RNAcentral.